RNAcentral lists this ribosomal RNA (398 nucleotides) under uncultured Trematosphaeria. RNAcentral describes it as "partial small subunit ribosomal RNA". It matches the Rfam family "Eukaryotic small subunit ribosomal RNA", at positions 30 to 432 of the family's 1831-position model. The record is from RNAcentral. Lineage: Eukaryota; Fungi; Ascomycota; Dothideomycetes; Pleosporales; Trematosphaeriaceae.
GCUUGUCUCAAAGAUUAAGCCAUGCAUGUCUAAGUAUAAGCCUUUAUAUGGUGAGACUGCGAAUGGCUCAUUAAAUCAGAAACUGUUUAUUUGAUAGUGCCUACUACAUGGAUACCUGUAGUAAUUCUAGAGCUAAUACAUGCAAAAAGCCUGGACUUCUGGAACAGGCGUAUUUAUUAGAUAAAAAACCAAUGCCCUUCGGGGCUCUUUGGUGAUUCAUGAUAACUUCUCAGAUCGCACGGCCUUGCGCCGGCGACGGUUCAUUCAAAUUUCUGCCCUAUCAACUUUCGAUGGUACGGUAUUGGCCUACCAUGGUUUCAACGGGUAACAGGGAAUUAGGGUUCGAUUCUGGAGAGCGAGCCUGAGAGACGGCUAGCACAUCCAAGGAAGGCAGCAGG